Molecule: long non-coding RNA, 910 nt
Organism: Notolabrus celidotus (New Zealand spotty)
Lineage: Eukaryota; Metazoa; Chordata; Actinopteri; Labriformes; Labridae
Exons: 2
Source: RefSeq, a predicted model, not a curated record
AUUGUGAAAGAUCUACCGGAAGUAGACUCAUCUUGUUGAUGGAAAACGAUGCAUAGCAGACUUCACAGCGGUCAUUGAAAAGGGGGCCGGACUGCGUCCAGUUUUCUUCCUACAAGAACCUCCAGACUCUACAGCGGACAGUCUUGACCGGGACAGUAGGAUGUUUACUUUAAAGACCGUAAGAAAAAAUAAAAGGUACAGCUUCUAUCGACCUGCUAAACUUUUAUAAAGUGUUUGUCAUCUCCAAGUUCAUCCUUUGCUUCGCCGGAGUCGCUGCGGGCAAGUGACCGGCAUCGACAGAAGACUGCUUUUCCUCCUCCACCAGAAGUCUCAACAACUGUGUCAGUCUGUGUGAACAUGCUCACGAGGAACGAUCACGUCUGUUCAAAGUCAUCCUGAAUAAAGGAUGCAGAAGAAGAGCUGGUUCACGGGGAAGUGGUAUCACAGCUUUGAUCCAUCAGAGGAAAGUCAAAGGACGUGAGGCGCAGGGAAAUAGUUUAAUGUGAAAAAGAGUGGUGCUGACUUAGGAUAACACAAAUAUAUAUAUGCCGAAUUAACAAGCUAGUGUUUUAAAACUUUUACACGUCUUUACUUCGACUCUACCUGGCAAAUAGCUCUUUAGAUAGCUUAAAUAAUAAAAAAUGAUGGAUUUACUUAUUGGGUUUCGCAAAACAUCUUAGAUCAGGGAAACAUAUAAUAGCACUUUCUACAGCAAGAGCUCAGGGUGGACACUUUAACUGAUGCUUGUUAAAUGAGUUGGAAUAAAGAGAAAAUAAUAACUUGACACAUAUCUACAUUCCUCUCUUCCAUGUUGCACUUGGCAUGACAUUGUACAAUUGAAAUUUAAAUGUAUUUAAGUCACAUAGAAAAAAUUGUUUUUACUUUGAAUAAAAUAAGACAUGAGAAGGUG